UACGGAGGGUGCGAGCGUUGUUCGGAAUCACUGGGCGUAAAGGACGUGUAGGCGGCCCGCUAAGUCUGAUGUGAAAUCACGUGGCUCAACCACGUGCGGUCAUUGGAAACUGGAGGACUUGAGUGCAGAAGAGGAAAGUGGAAUUCCAAGUGUAGCGGUGAAAUGCGUAGAGAUUUGGAGGAACACCAGUGGCGAAGGCGACUUUCUGGUCUGUAACUGACGCUGAGGCGCGAAAGCGUGGGGAGCAAACAGG
Molecule: ribosomal RNA, 253 nt
Filed under: uncultured bacterium
Lineage: Bacteria
Description: partial 16S ribosomal RNA
Rfam family: Bacterial small subunit ribosomal RNA
Source: RNAcentral